CUUUAUUUAUAUUAAAUAUAGAAAUGCACUGACAAAGAUUAGCAAUGUGACUUAUAUAAAGUAAAAAACAAUGUAACAGCAAAUGUCUUUUCACAGACUCAUGCUUCAGGAGGCCAAGCCAGUCUGAGAGUAACAACCAAGACUCUGCCAGAAGUCAUGAACUUUACCAGAAUGUGGCUCAACCUGAUGUAUACUCUACUCUCCUGCACGGUGAUGCCAGUGUCUACGAAACACUGAAAAUCUCUGAGGACAACAACGCUGGGGAUGAUUACGUCAACCAAUCAGUAAGGCACUGAAGACACUGAAAAUGUUCUUUGAACUCACAGUUUGUAAAUUCCGCCGCCAGGGGACUACCACAAAAGACGACAUCAAGGCUGGCGGGGAAUCAUGGGAGUGAUUCUCUCUGCUACUCUGUCCCCAACCCUGAUGAAAAUGAGCUAAGAGUUGACCGUAGUGAAGACAAACGAGUGAAACCGACCUGAGGAAGAGAAUAUGUUUACAGACGAUGUAUCCAAGUCUGAUUUACAUGAAGUUUUUAUCACAGCAGCACAUACAGCAACAGUACGGUGUUUCCAUGGCAACGUUAUACAUGUCGUGUCUGUCAUGGAGGCUCGGUCAUGGUGGUCACCACGACAACACGGCUUCUGUUACUAUAAUAUUAAGGAUUUCUCUGGCUUUGAUAACUGUUGGAAAUAUUUGCGGUAAUGUAAGUACUAGACAGAUAAUAUAUUUGUAACAUAAGUUUAGUCAAUUUCUAAUUAUUUAGAUAUUUAAGUGUAAAAAUUCGUAUGACUUUCUACAUAUUGUAUAUUUAAAGGAGCUGAUUAAAUUACAUAAAUUAUGUUCACAUCAUUACUUAACAUGCAACUCUGCUUUCCAACUAUCACAAAUGUUCAAGGGUUAGUACAGUUCAUUCAUUUUCUGGUUAAAUAAGAGUGACAGAAUAUGUAUUACAUUACUCAUACUAGCUAAAAGCUUACAAUUAUUACCAGAAUGUUCUUGACUAUUCUUAUUUUUAGAAGUAAAUAUUUUAUUUUGUCAUUUAUCUGUCAAUUUUGUGUAUUAAACUCUGGAUACGAGUUGUUUCAGCUGCUUCAUACUGUAUAUUUUAGCUUGAGCACCCAGUUGAUAGUGCAGCUUUAAAUUCGGCUUCUUUGUCAGUGUUGGCUUCCAAAGAUCCCGGAUGGACAUCAACAUUACUUUUAUAUCUGUGAUGACCUGCUCUCAACCAACAUAAUCAUUUACAUUAUAGUUUAUUGAACUGUCAGUAAUUUGUAUCUUAAUUAUUUCAUAGUUAUGUAUUGUUAAAGUAUUUCUGCUGUAAUGUUCCUAAUAAAUGUUUUAAA
This is a non-coding RNA of Labrus bergylta (ballan wrasse), 1346 nucleotides long. NCBI's taxonomy places the organism in Eukaryota, Metazoa, Chordata, Actinopteri, Labriformes, Labridae. The record is from RefSeq and is a predicted model, not a curated record.